This is an RNA transcript of Octodon degus (degu), 1035 nucleotides long. It is a transcript of the gene named myelin-associated neurite-outgrowth inhibitor-like, with no coding region annotated. The transcript has a single exon. NCBI's taxonomy places the organism in Eukaryota, Metazoa, Chordata, Mammalia, Rodentia, Octodontidae. The record is from RefSeq and is a predicted model, not a curated record.
GGAGCGCGGAUGGCGGAGAGGCGGGCCGGGCUGAGGGGAGCAGCGGGAGCCCCGGAGGCGGAGGCAGAGGCGGCGGGGACGCGGGCCGAGGGACACAGGCCCGCCUCGGAGCGCCCCCGCGCCCGCCGCUCGCUUCCUCCCAAGGCCGAGCCCGCCGGGCCGCGCACCCCCGCCAGAGCCCAGGCCGCCUUGGCGGCGCGUUCUUGAAAUCAUGAAUCCUGUCUACUAUAGCCCUGGAUCUUCUGGGGUUCCCUAUGCAAAUGCCAAAAGAAUUGGUUAUCCAGCUGGUUUCCCCAUGGGCUAUGCUGCAGCAGCUCCUGCAUAUUCUCCUAACAUGUACCCUGGAGCAAAUCCUACCUUCCAAACAGGUUAUACUCCAGGUACACCUUACAAAGUAUCCUGCUCUCCUACCAGAGGAGCUGUGCCGCCCUACUCCUCUUCCCCCAACCCCUACCAGACCGCCGUGUACCCUGUGCGAAGUGCCUACCCCCAGCAGAGCCCGUAUGCUCAGCAGGGCACAUACUACACACAGCCACUGUAUGCAGCACCCCCCCCACGUCAUCCACCACACCACAGUGGUGCAGCCCAGUGGCAUGCCUGCAACAGUGUACCCUGCUCCUAUCCCUCCUCCUGGGGCAAUGGUGUCACCAUGGGCAUGGUUGCUGGGACCACCAUGGCCAUGUCAGCAGGAACCCUGUUGACUGCUCACUCCCCAACUCCGGUUGCCCCUCACCCGGUCACUGUGCCCACAUACCGGGCCCCAGGAACACCCACUUACAGCUAUGUACCCCCUCAGUGGUGAUUACCCUGCAGAUAAAUGUUUGAGGAUGGAGCUGUGCAGUGACAUCAUUGAGGUUCCACAGCUGGUGCUGCAGGCCUUGUGCCUCCAAUCAGGACUUUCUUCUUAAUGCUCUCGACACUUAGCUAAACAUGACUACGUCCCAGCCCAGCAGGUUCCAGCGCCACCGUUAGUCUCCAGCUAACUCUGUGGGUUGGUCUUAAAGCAAAUCCUGUUUUGUGGUCUGCCUGGCAAUU